CAUGUUUGGGGCUAUAGGGAUAGGUAGCCUACAAUUACUCUCUAGGAGGGGGGAGUUUGGGCUGGAAAACCCAGAGAAGGGCGGGAGCCAGCAAGGUAGAAAAGGCAGCAAGGUAUGGGGUAGGGCAGACACUGGCUGCUGAUGAAAGGGCCCCUGAGCUGGAACCUAGGGCAGGACCAGGUUCCCCUAACAGCCACUGGGAAAGUGAAAUGGACCAGAGAACAGGAAGCAGACUAUCUGGGACAGUUGCUCUUGGAAGACUUGAAUACCACAGAAGGGGAGAACCAUAGUGACCUGCGUGGAGGGCCAAGUCACACAGAGGAAGAUGCAGCUCCUGGAGUGAGAGAGAGCCUGCAGGGUGCAGCAGUGAGAGGUCCCUGUGACAACAUUGUAUUUAUUUAUUUUUUGGAAGAAGCUGAAAAAUCUCCCUAUAGAAUAUAACUUGGCUGUAGAAGGCUACAAUUUUGAUAUGUUUCAGCAUUCCAGGAGAGACAAGAACAGGGAUGGUAAAAAUGUUGCAAUCUUCCAAGGGUGAAAUGACUGUUGCGACUAACUUUUCUUCAGACAGCCACAGUGUUCUACAUCUGUGUUCUGUUCCCUUCCCCAUCCCGGGCCUAACUCCCUCUUUAGUUCCCAUCACCCGCCACCUCUCCCAUUCUGCACAUCUCCUGUUUGUAAGGGGGAGGUAAGAUUGGGGUAACGGGAGAAGCUCUGAAACUGUGUAACCUUUCAAGGGACAGGAGACUGCUUUACUAAAUUUAGACAACCAACUAUAAGUUUUCCAUAACUGUCCUAUCCCUAGCUGGGACCUUUCCAAUACUCCCCUCCCUUGCCUCUGCCUGCAUAGCCCCAGGACCAUGGCUGCCUGACUGCUGGCUGAGAAAUGCAGACAUGAGGGCACAAUGAUUUUUUUUUUCCUUAAUCUAUUUUUAAAAGUGCUUUUAGAAGCUGCAUGCAUGAUAGUGUUUAACCAGAAAUCAACAGAACAAAUUUCUAUCACUGGGCUCUAUCUCUAUUAGAGGUAGAAAAAAAGGUCUCUUCCAGUUAUGGAGCUAACCCAAACUAAAAUAUAAGAAAACAGAAGCUUUUGAACUUGGGAUUUGAACUGACAACCCCUGAAAUGUGGCAAUACAGUAUUCAGAUUUGAUGUUCUGGUUUAGGCCCUUCUCUCACAUUGAUUUGAGGAAGGGAGGAGAAAUGGAAGACAAAAUAAUGGCAUUUUAGUAGGAAGCCCCCCUGCUGGUUCCUGUGGCUCUCCUCUCUUGUUGGUGUCGCAAUCUCCUGAUGAGCCUUAGGCUCAGUAUACAAAUAGACAUGCAUUGUGAGGUGGACAAUACCCACUACACAUUGACCAAAAAGCAGAUAAGUGUCUGUACCACUUGCUUGAAAGGAACAUUCCUGAGGUAUA
Chelonia mydas (Green sea turtle) is the source of this 1408-nucleotide long non-coding RNA. RefSeq lists it as uncharacterized. Lineage: Eukaryota; Metazoa; Chordata; Testudines; Cheloniidae. The record is from RefSeq and is a predicted model, not a curated record. The transcript has 3 exons.